UUGAUCCUGGCUCAGAACGAACGCUGGCGGCAGGCCUAACACAUGCAAGUCGAGCGCAGUCCUUCGGGACCGAGCGGCGGACGGGUUAGUAACGCGUGGGAACAUACCCUUUUCUACGGAAUAGCCUCGGGAAACUGAGAGUAAUACCGUAUAAGCCCUUCGGGGGAAAGAUUUAUCGGGAAAGGAUUGGCCCGCGUUAGAUUAGAUAGUUGGUGGGGUAACGGCCUACCAAGUCUACGAUCUAUAGCUGGUUUUAGAGGACGAUCAGCAACACUGGGACUGAGACACGGCCCAGACUCCUACGGGAGGCAGCAGUGGGGAAUCUUGGACAAUGGGCGCAAGCCUGAUCCAGCCAUGCCGCGUGUGUGAUGAAGGCCUUAGGGUCGUAAAGCACUUUCGCCAGAGAUGAUAAUGACAGUAUCUGGUAAAGAAACCCCGGCUAACUCCGUGCCAGCAGCCGCGGUAAUACGGAGGGGGUUAGCGUUGUUCGGAAUUACUGGGCGUAAAGCGCACGUAGGCGGACUAGUCAGUCAGAGGUGAAAUCCCAGGGCUCAACCCUGGAACGGCCUUUGAAACUGCUAGUCUUGAGUUCGAGAGAGGUGAGUGGAAUUCCGAGUGUAGAGGUGAAAUUCGUAGAUAUUCGGAGGAACACCACUGGCGAAGCGGCUCACUGGCUCGAUACUGACGCUGAGGUGCGAAAGUGUGGG
This 707-nucleotide ribosomal RNA is filed under the name uncultured Paracoccaceae bacterium. Its description in RNAcentral is "bacterial SSU rRNA". It matches the Rfam family "Bacterial small subunit ribosomal RNA", at positions 13 to 765 of the family's 1533-position model. The record is from RNAcentral. Lineage: Bacteria; Pseudomonadati; Pseudomonadota; Alphaproteobacteria; Rhodobacterales; Paracoccaceae.